CGUAGGGUGCGAGCGUUAAUCGGAAUUACUGGGCGUAAAGUGUGCGCAGGUGGCCGCGCAAGUCGGGUGUGAAAUCCCCGAGCUUAACUUGGGAAUUGCGCUCGAAACUACGUGGCUCGAGUGUGGCAGAGGAAGGUGGAAUUCCACGUGUAGCGGUGAAAUGCGUAGAGAUGUGGAGGAACACCGAUGGCGAAGGCAGCCUUCUGGGCCAACACUGACGCUCAUGCACGAAAGCGUGGGGAGCAAACAGGAUUAGAUACCCUGGUAGUCCACGCCCUAAACGAUGAUGACUAGUUGUUGGGGGAGUUAAAUCCCUUAGUAACGCAGCUAACGCGUGAAGUCAUCCGCCUGGGGAGUACGGUCGCAAGAUUA
RNAcentral lists this ribosomal RNA (372 nucleotides) under uncultured organism. RNAcentral describes it as "bacterial SSU rRNA". It matches the Rfam family "Bacterial small subunit ribosomal RNA", at positions 526 to 896 of the family's 1533-position model. The record is from RNAcentral.